This is a long non-coding RNA of Anopheles gambiae (African malaria mosquito), 604 nucleotides long. RefSeq lists it as uncharacterized. Lineage: Eukaryota; Metazoa; Arthropoda; Insecta; Diptera; Culicidae. The transcript has 2 exons. The record is from RefSeq and is a predicted model, not a curated record.
ACACACAGUCGAGCGAUCAGAGAGUAAACAUACACAAAUAAACCGAUGCUACUACGGUGGGCAGCAGUGUCUGGCGUGGUUUUGGUUGUGAGGUGCGCAGGUGUCUGUCGUACCAGCUCUGACGAAUCAGAGCUCAUCAGCGAUUAAAAUGGAAAAUGUGGCAGGCAGAAAGGCAGAGAAGAAGGCCGAGGCAAAUUAUGAUCGAUGGCUAAUGGAUUGUGACUGGAUGCACAGCCAGAAUCAGAAAUGCCAACUUGCUUACGUUCCCUCUCUGCCGCCCUGCGCGGCCAUCCCUGGUCCUGCUGUUACGGUCGAGCUGCUGGGGAGUACAGCGUACACGGCGCCGUGCAAGUGUUUUUUUUCCUGGGGGUUUAAUGCUACAUGUGGCGGCGCGAACGCCGUUCUCUCCGAUACCACACAGCGGUUUGGCGUUAUUUUCGGUGAUGUUUACUUUAGCGGGUCUUGAUUGAGCUAGACGAAAGAUCGACGAAAGAACUACAUGUGAUUGCUUAUUAGCAUUAUGUGUGUUAUGUAAGGAAUUUUCUACCAAAUAUACAAAUUAAAAUCGCUCUCCAUUGUACGUCACGCGGUACGUGCAGGCGAA